Molecule: ribosomal RNA, 505 nt
Filed under: uncultured bacterium
Lineage: Bacteria
Description: bacterial SSU rRNA
Rfam family: Bacterial small subunit ribosomal RNA
Source: RNAcentral
AGUGAACGCUGGCGGCAGGCCUAAUACAUGCAAGUCGAACGGCAGCACGGCAGAGCUUGCUCUGUGGGUGGCGAGUGGCGGACGGGUGAGGAAUACAUGGGAAUCUGCCCAGUCGUGGGGGAUAACGUAGGGAAACUUACGCUAAUACCGCAUGCGCCCUUCGGGGGAAAGCCGGGGACCUUCGGGCCUGGCGCGAUUGGAUGAGCCCAUGUCGGAUUAGCUAGUUGGCGGGGUAAUGGCCCACCAAGGCGACGAUCCGUAGCUGGUCUGAGAGGAUGAUCAGCCACACUGGAACUGAGACACGGUCCAGACUCCUACGGGAGGCAGCAGUAGGGAAUAUUGGACAAUGGGCGCAAGCCUGAUCCAGCCAUGCCGCGUGAGUGAAGAAGGCCCUCGGGUUGUAAAGCUCUUUUGUCCGGAAAGAAAAGCGCCGGGUUAAUACCCUGGUGUCCUGACGGUACCGGAAGAACAAGCACCGGCUAACUUCGUGCCAGCAGCCGUACGG